Molecule: ribosomal RNA, 427 nt
Filed under: uncultured bacterium
Lineage: Bacteria
Description: bacterial SSU rRNA
Rfam family: Bacterial small subunit ribosomal RNA
Source: RNAcentral
UCGAGAAUCUUUCACAAUGGGGGCAACCCUGAUGGAGCGACGCCGCGUGGAGGAUAAGGUCUUCGGAUUGUAAACUCCUGUCAUGUGAGAGCAAGGCCUGCCAGUUAACAUCUGGCCUGCUUGAUAGUAUCACAAGAGGAAGAGACGGCUAACUCUGUGCCAGCAGCCGCGGUAAUACAGAGGUCUCAAGCGUUGUUCGGAAUCACUGGGCGUAAAGGGUGUGUAGGCUGUGCGUUAAGUCAGAUGUGAAAGCCCAGGGCUCAACCUUGGAACUGCAUCCGAUACUGGCGUGCUAGAGAAUUGGAGAGGAGUCUAGAAUUCACGGUGUAGCAGUGAAAUGCGUAGAUAUCGUGAGGAAUACCAAGUGCGAAGGCAGGACUCUGGACAUUUUCUGACGCUGAGACACGAAGGCUAGGGGAGCAAACGG